AUCUAAUUCUUUUAUGUUUAAAAGUACCCCAUGCCAUGUUAGAUAGGUUAUGAACCUUGGAAAAUUAUUAUUUUGCAUGUAUUUAGACAAACAUAGAUCCAAGGUUUAUUAGGGUUGCAUGCACACUUAGGAAGUGUUAGAUUGCUCAAAACCCAACAGUGGUAUCAGAGCCUAGGCUUGCUUGUUUGAUACUUGAUGCAAAAUAGUGAAAAAAGUUGAAAUUGUUGCUGUCUGGCUGAUGGACUCGCCGAGUCCAUGGGGGGACUCGCCGAGUUCAAGGCAAAAUUCAUCCUACUCGGCGAGUAGGUUCGUGCACUCGGCGAGUAGAAUGAUCAGAAUGCAGAAUUUCGACUUUUGCUGCUGGAAAUGGACUAGAAACAUUACCCUAAACUGUUUUGGUGUUUUAAAACUUGUUUUAGUUGGUGUAAUGGUUGUUCUAAUCCAUUUACAAUAGCAUAUAUCAAAAUUCCAUGAUUUUUAUGUGUUCAUAUAAUUCUUGAAAUUUUGAUGAUCAUGUUCAUGUUCUUAUGAAUUUAGAAGAUGAUAGGAAUUAUUUGCUGAAUUGUUUAGAAUUAAUUCUUGAUCAUUUAUGUGUUUUAAUGGAGUCCAUAAUUUGUCCUCAAGUUAUGGAUAUCCAAAGGUCACUUUUCUUUAACACACACUUAAACCCAUAAGUUACAUGAAAAUGAAGAGUCUUCAUUUUUAUGAACCUUUAAUUCAUAAGUUAUGAAAUGAAAAGUUUUGGAUAGUUACAAAACUUGCCCUCAAGUUUUGGAAUUUGUAAAGUUUCACACACUUUAAUAAACUUUAAUUCCAACCCUUAGAGUUUUAAUAGUUAAAAUUCAACCCUUAUACUAUUUAUAACAUUAAUGGUUAAUUAUUAUAUAUAUGUAUAAGAAUAAGUCGUUCUACCGUUAGUAGGCCUCAUUCACGAAGCCGGUCUAUAAGGUGGGUAUAAGGUUGUUGCCUAUAAAAUGGCGACUUAAUGGGUGUCCACUCUCACCCACCGCUUGCUUGACUGGUGGAGGGUCGUUAGCCGAACGGGUAGGACAAUGACUUUAAAUUCUCAUUAAAAGUAUAAUGAUUAUUAUAAAGUAACUAAAUAUUUUUUUUUUAAUUCCCAAUCUUAGUUACUUUAGGAAAAAUGUGAAUUUGGUGCUAGCCCAUGGAAUUCACACUUUGUACCUUACCAAGUCGUUGGUGGAGCGUGUGUGGUUAACCGGCACACUAACUUGGACUAGUAAGGAUCACGAAGGGUGACUUAAUGUUUGUCAUAGAUCAAUGGAGCGUGUGUGGUUAACCGGCACAUUGAUUAGGUGAUAAUAUUAAGGGUACCAAGUGAAUUGGUAUGGUUAUUCACACCUUGUUUUGUGAUCCUCGGCAUCCCAGUCACAAAAUUUGAGAGGGCACACUCGAGAUUGAAACAUGCCAUUGAAAAGUUCAAUGAAUCUCAAAAGAUCUAGGAAUUUCAAAUCCAAUUAAAACCUAAUAAAUUAUUUCGUUUUUCAUGGUGGAAAUUGGUGAAUCGUCAUUCGCCUACCUUCAAAUAUUUUAUAGCUUGGAUUACGGCAUCCCUCUUCCAAAUUAUAAAAUAUUGUGUUGGGUCCUAGCCUUAAUAUUUCAUAUUGGGUGUUAUAUUAAGGACUUUGAAUCAACUAACUUGAUUUUCUCCCAUUAUAGAUGUCUGGUUCAGACAACUAUGAUCUUCCCAAAUCUCUUGAAGAUGGUGUCCCUCAACAUCAUGCUUCACUUCCUCCACCUCCUCCAAUUAUUCUCCCUCACCCACAAGUUCUUGAAAAGUUUAAAGUCACUCAAUCCCUAUUGGCAAGCAUAGUCUAUGUGUGCUCACAUCUUGGAGAUAAAGUCACAUAUUGACAAGCCGGGAGAGUUGGGUGUCAAAGUCUCGUGAAAGUUGGAUGUUCAAUCACUUUCUUAGUAACAUAGUGAGUCUCUUUGGGACUACUAUGAGACAGACUAUGACAUGACCCUUAAUGAUGUUAUCUAUUUGCUUGGUGUUGUGGAAUCAGCAAUGAUUUGGAACACCAGUAAAGCAAAUUUGAUUAAAAGAACAACUUCCCAAGUCUUAAAUGGACAUUGACAAUGGUAGCAUUGGAUAUCUAGAAAAGGAUUUCUCUUCCCAAUGGAAAGGGAUCGGCCAUAGUCAACUCGGUUGACCAAAUGGUAAAGAGAAAGGCUAAGUCUGAGAUAGUCUCAUGUGCCAUUACCAAAGGGUCCAUGUGUUUUGUUGCCAAAGGAAGGGGCAUUGGUUGCGAAGCUGCCCUAUUCACCUGAAAGGUCAUAAGGUUGAUCAAGUCAAGAGGUUUGACUCUACUUCGGGUAAAGUCCACUGUCUAACUCUAUUAAGUUCCUAUUUGGAGAUUCUUAUUACAUAAUGUGAAUGGGUCACAUGCUGAUGUUUUUAAGAAUCAAAGAAAAGAUAGGAAGCUUAAAGUAAGUAUAUGUUGAUUCUGAUUGCAAAGGUGGGUUUCGAUCGCAUGGUUCGGCAAUCAGAAUUUUGAGCUGUUGCUUAAGAGUUAUAAUAUAUUGCUUAUGAAUAGAUAACAACAAGGUUUUCAUGUGGAUUGUAAGGAUAAGUUUUUCCGCAAAGUUUUAAAAUAAAAGAAAAAAAGGGUUUUAAUUUUAUUUAUUUUAAAAAUAUCCUUACAAUGGCAUCUGUGGAAAAUUGUUGCUUAUAUGUUUCCAGUAAUAGCAAUAUUGGAAAGUGGAUUUGAUUCUUUCAUUUGUGGUAGUGUCUGAAUUUACCAAAUGAAGAAAGUUUUUCAUCACCCAAGUUUCAAUUGGACAGAAACUUGGAAUCAUACAAGUUGUAUUGUAUGAUGAAUGAGAAUUUUCAUCUUUGAAAAUUAAGACUAAUUCUUUGAUCACAUGUAUAUGUGAGUCAAUUGAAGGACUAAGGAAUUAGGUACACUGGGUGUGCGCUGGUCAAGGUCCACCACAAAGAUUGAUUUGUCAUGAUUUACUAAAGAUUAGUAAAUAUGAUUAUACUUAUAAGGUUAAGUAUAAUUCUGUAACAUUGGAAAGGUUACAAUGUAUGACAAAACAAAUGAGAAGAAUCAAAUUAGGCAGAAAGAUAAAAGUUUCUCAAAUCUGAAAGGAUGGGAGAGUACUUUAGUAUCGUAUUUCAUGAUCAUCUUAAUGAUUAUGAAACCAUAUCACAAAUUCAUACUCUAAGGACGUCUUAGUGCAUUGUUAUGGCUAAGAAGAGAGGUCAUGAAUUGUUGGAUUGGUUAAAAUCAAGAAGAUGAGUCAUACUUCGUUCCAAAACAAUUCUUAGAGUCAUACUCCAAGAUUGUAACUUUGAGUGACAUAAAGGAAGAUUUAUUAACACUAGUCAAAUGUAAGAGUAAAAUGUUUUCUACUCUUGUACAUUUGAGAUUGGUAAGUUGUGAUGUCUUGGAUGAGACAAAGACCAACUAAGACCAAUUGUGUGAAGUGUUAGUCUUGAUAAGAAUCCGCACUAUCCCUUGAAUAUUUGUUUUGUCAAGGAAUGGUUCUUGACUGGGGAAACUUAUAUGUCAAGGGGACAGUGGGAGCCUUAAAGAUCCUGAAAGAGUUUCAAGAUUUAAUCAAGAGUAAAACCUGUAAUUUAUCACUAGCACACGACUUAAGGUUUGCAACCUAUCGUGUUGACAUAAUUCUUAUUUCUGUACCUACUUCAAAUAAGUUGAAUUUGCAUGUGAGUUAUCAGAGUUCAACUUGGAAGCAUUGGUGGGCCUUGUGCUACCAAGGUGACAAGAAACUAAGAUUGAACAAGUUUAAUCCAUGUAAGGCUGAAUUUGUCACUAACCUUAUCUUGUGAUUAUGGUUUUGACAAAUUCACAUGGAUAGGAACUCAUACACUAUAAAAUCUAAGUGUCAUAAGGUUUCUCUCCGAUUCAUGAAAAUGAUGGUGAGGAAACGCUUUCACUAAGUAGAUUUUACGUAGAUAUCAAUUGUGUUAUUUGCAUUUUCAAAAGUCGUUAGUGGAGCGCGUGUGGUUAACCGGCACACUAACAUGGACUUGUGAGAAAUGGCAAAUGCCUAAGCAAUUGAGACUAUGAUUACGGCAUCCCUUUUCAUAGUUCUGAAAAUUGUUUAGACACACAUGUGAGCUAUCUAAGAAAGGGUGUAUGAAUCUAAAUUUCAGAAGUCCAACAGAUUUCUGGAAAUGUGUCAGAGCUAGUGGGAGCAUAAGUGUUAUGCUGAUAAUCAUCAUGUUAGUGGGAGCAUGACUAUUAUGAUUAGUAUUGCAAGCUAGCAAUGUUAAUUAUAGAAAACAAAGUUUCAAUCCGUGAAGUUGCAGGGGUUGAAAAGUUGUUUUGCUAUAAUUAAGGGAGAGGAAAUUAUACUUCAUUUCAAUUCUAAAGCUUAGAUUGAGAUUUUAAUCAUCUUUAGUCAAGAAUAUAUAUAUGAAUUUUAUGUCGGAAUGGUUCAACUUGAAGAAAUUCUAUAUAUAUUGCGUUUUCAAAAUUCGAUUAUGAUUACGGCAUCCCUCUUCAUAGUUAAAUUUUGAAAACAUGGCAAAUAAAAAAUAUUGUAGCAAAAGACUGGUCUAGUAUCAUGUCUUUAUGUCAAACAUCAUGAAUCGUGUCCCAUAUGCUUCGGAUAUAGGAUCGAUUUCAUGUGCUAUAAUAUUCAUCCUUUCUAAAUUUUCCAAAUGCUUAAGGCAUUUAGAAGGGAAAAGUCUAGAACUGGAUAUGACUAAAGUGAUUAAGCAAUUGUCGAGGACAAUCUGAGGUUCGCCAAAGAUUGGUUGCUCAGGGACAUUUGGAAGUCUAGUGUUAAUUUUGGUAGGACCAUAUCGACAUUUUCUGAAAAGAGGUAACUCUUGUUCGGAAGUGAUAGUCAAAUAGGACUAUGGAAAUGUCUCCAUAGGUGGAAGUGAUUCAAUCUAUGUAAGAUUAGGAAACUUAAUGCAAAAAGGAUGUUCCCAAGGAGCUGAUCUCCUUUGGAAUGCUCUGUAAUGGUUGUUGUCAAGUCUUUCUGACUUUGUGCAUAAUCAUUACAAGAGGAUCAAUGCAUAUAAGUUUAGAAUCUAACAGAUUUCAGUAAAUGACAUAAAUUUGGAAUUCUUGCAUUUACAAUAAGGAUUUGGGAUUGUGAAAUGAGUAUCAUUGGAAUCAUGUUCAAUUGAUCUACAUCACAAUGUAAGGAUCAUAGACAAACAUAGUGUGCAUACUUGGGGUAUGGCAUAACUAUUGUUUAGAAAAACAAAGUGUACAUGCUAGGAGCAUGGGACGACUGUUGUUUUUAUUCAAGUCUUAAGUUGAUUAUUUGAAACAUUGAAUAAUGUGUAAUCAAUAUGGUGAUAAAUAAAAAGUGGUUUUAUUUAUAUUCAAAAGGGUUCUGAGACCAUAUUAGAUUCGAUUAUUAUUGUAUUUCACUUUGCAUGUUUUGACUUCCAAAAUAGCUAGGUUAUUCUUUCCGGAUGACUAAGUUAUUUAAACACUCCACAGUCGUUCAUAUGUUGGAAGUAGGUAUGAAUCAAGACUGUCAUGAAUCGGGUUUGUAGAUGGCUAAAUGAGUUUAGUCAUGGCAAUGGUUGCUACAACAUUCAUGAGUACUCAUAAGUUAUGAGUAUUGGAAUAAACCCACGCUCACUUGUAUCACUUCAUGGAAUUUAUCUCGAGUGAUCGUGAGACGAUAAUAUCAUAUAAAUCUUCAAACCUAGAGAUAUGAGUUGUUACCUAUGAGUUGGUUGUGCAUUGAUUGCACGUAAACGCAUCAGUAACUUGAUGUUAUAAAACGUGCCUUUGUGUACAAUUCAACAAGUAGUAGAACAAGCAUAUGAGUCGAAGUUUAUCUGUUCCUUCUAGAAAUAGAAGCGAUAUCUGGGCCCCUCGAUGAUUUUGUUGUGACCUAUGUACCGGCCGGUCAGAACUGAAUUGAUGUGUUCGAUUAAGUUCUUUGUCAAACAAAUCGAAAAUCGGGAAACAAACUGCUGGACAAUAAGUACGACGUUGUUCCAUGUAUUUGUCCGGCUGAUAUCAUGAGAACAGAGGAUUAUAUGAUCACUUAUCUAAAAUGGCGCUUCAUAGUUCAACAGAGUUUUCGAGAGCUACGAUUGCUGGUUGGUUCCUGAAGUAACAUACGCAAAUAUAGUUAUUAGACUUAUCCAAGUGGGAGUCUGUUGGAUAAGGUGUCUAAGUCCAUAACUUAUUUGGUAUAUACUUGACCCGACCCGGCAUGGUCCAUUUGGGUUGCAUUUCAUCCAAACUAUUUAUGGAUAAUUUUAUGAGAGUUAUACACAUAUGUUUAUUAAUAUAUUAUAAGUUAUAAUAUAUUAAUAUGAAGUCAUGUUAUUUAAAUUAGUCUUAGUCUUAAAUUAAUUAUGAAUUAAUUUAGAGAUUAAAAGGAAGACUAAUUAGAUUGUGGGCUAUUGGUUUUAUAUAGUGUGGGCUAACACUCAUUUGUUAAUGGGCUAGGCUUGUAUGGAAGUCCAUGGAUGAUCCAUGGAGCUUUUAACCCAUGGAUCCUUGGAAAAGGAAAGGUCAUGGGUUAUUAGGGUUUCACCCUAAUCAUGUACACUAUAUAAGCAUGCUUAUGUUGCAUGAAAUAGUUACUAGUGGCACUAGUUAUGUGAGACUUGGUGUGUGGCCGAUUUUAUAGUGUGUAUACACUCUCUCAAAGUUUUCCAAGAGUUUGUGGUGAUUUGUGAUUCCAUUUGAGGCAUUCACACUAUUGGUGCUUGGCCCUCAAACUCCUUAAGAAUCAAACUCAUCAUCAAAAGGUAUGUAAUCUCAUCUAAUAAUUUUAUGUUUAAAAGUACCCCUUGCCAUGUUAGAUAGGUUAUGAACCUUGGAAAAUUAUUAUUUUGCAUGUAUUUAGACAAACAUAGAUCCAAGGUUUAUUAGGGUUGCAUGCACACUUAGGAAGUGUUAGAUUACUCAAAACCCAACAUAGGGUUCACAAGGUAUACUUGGACUUGGGGUGUUAUAAUUCUCCCCCACUAGAAUCAGACUUCGCCCUCGAAGUCAUGCUCCGUAAAUAGCUCAAGAUGCUGCUCUCGCAUCUCCGACUCCUAUUCCCAAGUUGACUCGGACCCUUCCGAUGCUGCCACUGUACCAGAACCAAGGGCACUUCCUUGUUUCUCAAAACCUUCACCCUCCGAUCCAAAGUCGCAAUCGGUCUCUCAAUAUAAUUCAGGCCCGCAUCUACCUGAAUGUUCUCUAAUGGCACUACUAUCAUCUCGUCGGCUAUAAACUUCUUCAACUGGGACACAUGGAAGGUGUUAUGAAUCUGACUCAACUAUGCAGGUAACUCCAACCGGUAGGCUACCCUGCCUACCCUGGCAGUCACUCUAAAAGGACCGAUGUAUCGGCGGCCUAGUUGCCCCGCUUCCUGAAUCGAAUCACCCCUUUCCAUGGGGAUACCUUCAAGAGGACAAAGUCUCCAACCUGGAAUUCUAACUCGGAUCGUGGCCUGUCCGCAUAACUCUUCUGGCGACUCUGGGUCGUCAGCAAUUUCUGUCUAACCUGCUGGACCUACUCAGUCGUCCUUAGCACUAUCUCAGUGCCACCCAUCACUCUUUGUCCCACCUCCCCCACCCCAACAAAUAGGAGUCUAAAACCUCCUCCCAUACA
This 7583-nucleotide long non-coding RNA is filed under the name Lactuca sativa (garden lettuce). RNAcentral's name for it is "long non-coding RNA (LSAT_LNC002216)". The record is from RNAcentral. Lineage: Eukaryota; Viridiplantae; Streptophyta; Magnoliopsida; Asterales; Asteraceae.